Molecule: long non-coding RNA, 811 nt
Filed under: Salmo salar (Atlantic salmon)
Lineage: Eukaryota; Metazoa; Chordata; Actinopteri; Salmoniformes; Salmonidae
Description: lncRNA (ENSSSAG00000088731.1, ENSSSAG00000111343.1)
Source: RNAcentral
GAGCCAGAAGAAUGCGCAAUCAUGAGGGAACAGCUGUUGCUUUGCGAGAUCCCCCCUCCACUCUUUGCAGUCAAAGUCUCAUGAUCGAGGGUGAACCUAAUACCGUUAUUCUCAAAACACACUUCAGCCAGAAGGUCUACUCUGACACCAAACAAGCCAGCAUGUCCCUCACCAGGGCCCUGGUCCCAGUGGAGAGAGAUGCAUCCCAUACUGUCUGACCAGGUCAUUUGGCAAGCUGGAGAUCAACAAGAACUCACCAGAGGGAGACAGCACAGUCAACCAGCAUCGGGUGUGACUCCCUCCUGGAGGCCAUAGAAGGGCCAGGCUAGGUUGGUGCAGAUGGUAGUCCAGAGGGUUUACGUUACCCCUGGCAGUUCCCGCUCCAUAAAGGCAAAAGCAGAGCAUUCUUCCAUCACAUGUACAGCUGAUAAUCAAGAUCUUGCACACUAAUGAGAUGCUAUUGAGCCCACACGACUACACUGUCUGAGCCAAGGACUACAUGCUUUCUGCUGUUACAGAACUACCCACCAAACUCGGACCAAGCAGCGGAGGAACGAGGAAGAAGGAUGGACGUGGGCGGAGAUGAGGAUGAGCAUUUCCAGGGCUAUGGAUGAGUUAAGUAAACCCGAGAGGCAGCUCCAAUAAUUUUUUUGGGGGGGGCACAAGGGCAGUUUUGCAGGGCGAGGAUGGAGCCCCAGGCCAGCUCCCCGCACUAGCCCUGAGGUGCGUCAGCCCAGUCUGACUCGGCCUGUUCCCGCUCCCUGCACUAGCCCUAAGGUGCGUGUGCCCAGACUGGCACAUCCUGUACCAG